UACGUAGGGGGCAAGCGUUGUCCGGAAUCAUUGGGCGUAAAGAGCGUGUAGGCGGUUCGGUAAGUCGGCUGUGAAAGUCCAGGGCUCAACCCUGGAAAGCCGGUGGAUACUGUCGGGCUAGAGUCCGGAAGAGGCGAGUGGAAUUCCUGGUGUAGCGGUGGAAUGCGCAGAUAUCAGGAGGAACACCGAUAGCGAAGGCAGCUCGCUGGGACGGUACUGACGCUGAGGUGCGAAAGCGUGGGGAGCGAACAGG
This 253-nucleotide ribosomal RNA is filed under the name uncultured bacterium. RNAcentral's name for it is "partial 16S ribosomal RNA". It matches the Rfam family "Bacterial small subunit ribosomal RNA", at positions 524 to 776 of the family's 1533-position model. The record is from RNAcentral.